This 82-nucleotide transfer RNA is filed under the name Echinostoma caproni. It matches the Rfam family "tRNA". Rfam says of the family: Transfer RNA (tRNA) molecules are approximately 80 nucleotides in length. Their secondary structure includes four short double-helical elements and three loops (D, anti-codon, and T loops). The record is from Rfam by way of RNAcentral. Lineage: Eukaryota; Metazoa; Platyhelminthes; Trematoda; Plagiorchiida; Echinostomatidae.
GACCUCGUAACUCAUCUGGUAGAGCGUGCGCGUACAAUGCGUAGGUGGCGUCUAUGCGUGGGUUCGAAUCCCACUGAGGCCA